Molecule: ribosomal RNA, 404 nt
Filed under: uncultured bacterium
Lineage: Bacteria
Description: bacterial SSU rRNA
Rfam family: Bacterial small subunit ribosomal RNA
Source: RNAcentral
UGGGGAAUAUUGCGCAAUGGGGGAAACCCUGACGCAGCAACGCCGCGUGGGUGAUGAAGGUCUUCGGAUUGUAAAACCCUGUCUUUGGGGACGAUAAUGACGGUACCCAAGGAGGAAGCCACGGCUAACUACGUGCCAGCAGCCGCGGUAAUACGUAGGUGGCGAGCGUUGUCCGGAAUUACUGGGCGUAAAGAGUAUGUAGGCGGAUGCCUAAGUCAGAUGUGAAAUUCCCGGGCUUAACCUGGGCGCUGCAUUUGAAACUGGGCAUCUAGAGUGCAGGAGAGGAAAGUGGAAUUCCUAGUGUAGCGGUGAAAUGCGUAGAGAUUAGGAAGAACACCAGUGGCGAAGGCGACUUUCUGGACUGUAACUGACGCUGAGAUACGAAAGCGUGGGGAGCAAACAGG